CCUACGGGUGGCAGCAGUGAGGAAUAUUGGUCAAUGGACGAGAGUCUGAACCAGCCAAGUAGCGUGAAGGAUGACUGCCCUAUGGGUUGUAAACUUCUUUUAUAUGGGAAUAAAAUGUUCCACGUGUGGGAUUUUGUAUGUACCAUAUGAAUAAGGAUCGGCUAACUCCGUGCCAGCAGCCGCGGUAAUACGGAGGAUCCGAUCGUUAUCCGGAUUUAUUGGGUUUAAAGGGAGCGUAGGUGGAUUGUUAAGUCAGUUGUGAAAGUUUGCGGCUCAACCGUAAAAUUGCAGUUGAAACUGGCAGUCUUGAGUACAGUAGAGGUAGGCGGAAUUCGUGGUGUAGCGGUGAAAUGCGUAGAUAUCACGAAGAACUCCGAUUGCGAAGGCAGUUCACUGGACUGCAACUGACACUGAGGCUCGAAAGUGUGGGUAUCAAACAGGAUUAGAUACCCGAGUAGUC
Molecule: ribosomal RNA, 460 nt
Filed under: uncultured bacterium
Lineage: Bacteria
Description: partial 16S ribosomal RNA
Rfam family: Bacterial small subunit ribosomal RNA
Source: RNAcentral